Molecule: ribosomal RNA, 244 nt
Filed under: uncultured crenarchaeote
Lineage: Archaea; Thermoproteati; Thermoproteota
Description: partial 16S ribosomal RNA
Rfam family: Archaeal small subunit ribosomal RNA
Source: RNAcentral
UAUUGGGCCUAAGCAUCCGUAGCCGGUUCUACAAGUCUUCCGUUAAAUCCACCUGCUCAACAGAUGGGCUGCGGAAGAUACUAUGGAGCUAGGAGGCGGGAGAGGCAAGCGGUACUCGAUGGGUAGGGGUAAAAUCCGUUGAUCCAUUGAAGACCACCAGUGGCGAAGGCGGCUUGCCAGAACGCGCUCGACGGUGAGGGAUGAAAGCUGGGGGAGCAAACCGGAUUAGAUACCCCCGUAGUCC